This 422-nucleotide ribosomal RNA is filed under the name uncultured bacterium. RNAcentral describes it as "bacterial SSU rRNA". It matches the Rfam family "Bacterial small subunit ribosomal RNA", at positions 379 to 793 of the family's 1533-position model. The record is from RNAcentral.
AAGCCUGAUGCAGCCAUGCCGCGUGUAUGAAGUAAGGCCUUCGGGUUGUAAAGUACUUUCAGUCAGUGAGGAAGUGGAUAUGUUAAUAGCAUAUUCAUUUGACGUUUAGCUGCAGAAGAAGCACCGGCUAACUCCGUGCCAGCAGCCGCGGUAAUACGGAGGGUGCGAGCGUUAAUCGGAAUUACUGGGCGUAAAGCGCAUGCAGGUGGUUGUUAAGUCAGAUGUGAAAGCCCGGGGCUCAACCUCGGAAUUGCAUUUGAAACUGGCAAACUAGAGUACUGUAGAGGGGGUAGAAUUUCAGGUGUAGCGGUGAAAUGCGUAGAGAUCUGAAGGAAUACCGGUGGCGAAGGCGGCCCCCUGGACAGAUACUGACACUCAGAUGCGAAAGCGUGGGGAGCAAACAGGAUUAGAUACCCUGGUAG